RNAcentral lists this transfer RNA (69 nucleotides) under Schistosoma bovis. RNAcentral describes it as "tRNA-Ile". The record is from RNAcentral. Lineage: Eukaryota; Metazoa; Platyhelminthes; Trematoda; Strigeidida; Schistosomatidae. RNAcentral also lists the same sequence under 1 other name.
UUCUGAGAGGGCUGCUUGAGCAGGUUACUCCGAUAUAGUAAAUAGUAAGAUUCAGAUCUUCCUCAGUAU